UAACACAUGCAAGUCGAACGAAGCACUUUGGAUGGAUUUCUUCGGAAUGAUAUCCUUAGUGACUGGGUGGCGGACGGGUGAGUAACGCGUGGGUAACCUGCCUCAUACAGGGGGAUAACAGUUAGAAAUGGCUGCUAAUACCGCAUAAGCGCACAGUGCCGCAUGGUACAGUGUGAAAAACUCCGGUGGUAUGAGAUGGACCCGCGUCUGAUUAGCUGGUUGGCAGGGUAACGGCCUACCAAGGCGACGAUCAGUAGCCGACCUGAGAGGGUGAUCGGCCACAUUGGGACUGAGACACGGCCCAAACUCCUACGGGAGGCAGCAGUGGGGAAUAUUGCACAAUGGGGGGAACCCUGAUGCAGCGACGCCGCGUGAAGGAAGACGUAUUUCGGUAUGUAAACUUCUAUCAGCAAGGAAGAUGAUGACGGUACUUGACUAAGAAGCCCCGGCUAACUACGUGCCAGCAGCCGCGGUAAUACGUAGGGGGCAAGCGUUAUCCGGAUUUACUGGGUGUAAAGGGAGCGUAGGCGGCCAUGCAAGUCAGAAGUGAAAGCCCGGGGCUCAACCCCGGGACUGCUCUUGAAAC
RNAcentral lists this ribosomal RNA (586 nucleotides) under uncultured Lachnospiraceae bacterium. RNAcentral's name for it is "bacterial SSU rRNA". It matches the Rfam family "Bacterial small subunit ribosomal RNA", at positions 49 to 633 of the family's 1533-position model. Lineage: Bacteria; Bacillati; Bacillota; Clostridia; Lachnospirales; Lachnospiraceae. The record is from RNAcentral.